This 662-nucleotide ribosomal RNA is filed under the name Chlamydomonas leiostraca. RNAcentral describes it as "LSU rRNA". It matches the Rfam family "Bacterial large subunit ribosomal RNA", at positions 2228 to 2798 of the family's 2925-position model. The record is from RNAcentral. Lineage: Eukaryota; Viridiplantae; Chlorophyta; Chlorophyceae; Chlamydomonadales; Chlamydomonadaceae.
AUGUAACGUUUAUCGUUAUUCACUUUAUAAUUGAUUUGUUAUACUGGGGCGGUAACCUUCAUUAGAGUAACGAGGGUAAGCAAAAGCCGGUAUCAAGUUCGAACUGAUAAAUGCCGGUUGACUGUGAGAAACACUAUUCGAACAGACGUAAUAUAGAUAAAAUCUUCCCCGCUUGGAUCAGUUUGGCCUCCGGCCAAACUCGAUCGAUGGACUUUUGGCCCUGGCCAAAAGUCAUCCUCCGCGAGCCGGGGAUUCCCGGGUCGCUCCGCGACCGGGAUGUAGAAGCGGGUAGUAAUGACCGGAUCUGUAAAUGUUACGGAUCCAUCAAUGGACAAAAGAUACGCUAGGGAUAACAGGCUUAUCCGGAAAGAGAGUUCAUAUCGACUUCCGGGUUUGGCACCUCGAUGUUGGAUCAUCUUGUCCUGUAGCUGCAGAAGGUUACGAGGGUUAGGCUGUUCGCCUAUUAAAAAGGUACGUGAUCUGAGUUCAGAACGUCGUGAGACAGUUCGGUUUCUAUCUACCUACAUCCGUUCAUAUCUGCUAAGGUUGGUUAGUACGAAAGGACCAUACCAAUCUAAACCUCUGGUUCAACUGUUGUUAUCAGCAUUGCAGUAAAGCUAAGUUUAACUCGCGGGGACGAACAUUUGAAAAGGAUUCGUAUG